Molecule: ribosomal RNA, 1210 nt
Filed under: Lactiplantibacillus plantarum
Lineage: Bacteria; Bacillati; Bacillota; Bacilli; Lactobacillales; Lactobacillaceae
Description: bacterial SSU rRNA
Rfam family: Bacterial small subunit ribosomal RNA
Source: RNAcentral
GGGGGGGCGGCUAUCAUGCAGUCGACGACUCUGGUAUUGAUUGGUGCUUGCAUCAUGAUUUACAUUUGAGUGAGUGGCGAACUGGUGAGUAACACGUGGGAAACCUGCCCAGAAGCGGGGGAUAACACCUGGAAACAGAUGCUAAUACCGCAUAACAACUUGGACCGCAUGGUCCGAGCUUGAAAGAUGGCUUCGGCUAUCACUUUUGGAUGGUCCCGCGGCGUAUUAGCUAGAUGGUGGGGUAACGGCUCACCAUGGCAAUGAUACGUAGCCGACCUGAGAGGGUAAUCGGCCACAUUGGGACUGAGACACGGCCCAAACUCCUACGGGAGGCAGCAGUAGGGAAUCUUCCACAAUGGACGAAAGUCUGAUGGAGCAACGCCGCGUGAGUGAAGAAGGGUUUCGGCUCGUAAAACUCUGUUGUUAAAGAAGAACAUAUCUGAGAGUAACUGUUCAGGUAUUGACGGUAUUUAACCAGAAAGCCACGGCUAACUACGUGCCAGCAGCCGCGGUAAUACGUAGGUGGCAAGCGUUGUCCGGAUUUAUUGGGCGUAAAGCGAGCGCAGGCGGUUUUUUAAGUCUGAUGUGAAAGCCUUCGGCUCAACCGAAGAAGUGCAUCGGAAACUGGGAAACUUGAGUGCAGAAGAGGACAGUGGAACUCCAUGUGUAGCGGUGAAAUGCGUAGAUAUAUGGAAGAACACCAGUGGCGAAGGCGGCUGUCUGGUCUGUAACUGACGCUGAGGCUCGAAAGUAUGGGUAGCAAACAGGAUUAGAUACCCUGGUAGUCCAUACCGUAAACGAUGAAUGCUAAGUGUUGGAGGGUUUCCGCCCUUCAGUGCUGCAGCUAACGCAUUAAGCAUUCCGCCUGGGGAGUACGGCCGCAAGGCUGAAACUCAAAGGAAUUGACGGGGGCCCGCACAAGCGGUGGAGCAUGUGGUUUAAUUCGAAGCUACGCGAAGAAACCUUACCAGGUCUUGACAUACUAUGCAAAUCUAAGAGAUUAGACGUUCCCUUUCGGGGACAUGGAUACAGGUGGGUGCAUGGUUGUCGUCAGCUCGUGUCGUGAGAUGUUGGGAUAAGUCCCGCACGAGCGCAACCCCUUAUUAUCAGCUGCAGCAUCGUUGGGCACUCUGUGAGACUGGCGAUGAACAACCGGAGAAGCUGGAAUGACGUCAAUUCAUCAUGCCCAUUAAUGGACCUGGGGCUUAGA